Molecule: ribosomal RNA, 277 nt
Filed under: uncultured bacterium
Lineage: Bacteria
Description: partial 16S ribosomal RNA
Rfam family: Bacterial small subunit ribosomal RNA
Source: RNAcentral
GACGAACGCUUGCGGCGUGCCUAAGAAAUGCAAGUCGAACGGGAGCUUCGGCUCUAGUGGCGAACGGUCGCGUAACACGUGGGCAACCUGCCCUGAAGCGGGGGACAACGUUCCGAAAGGAGCGCUAAUACCGCAUGUGGAUUGAUACGGCAUCGUAUCUCUCUAAAGACUUCGGUCGCUUCAGGAUGGGCCCGCGGCCUAUCAGCUUGUUGGCGAGGUAACGGCUCACCAAGGCGACGACGGGUAGCUGGUCUGAGAGGACGACCAGCCGGAUUGG